Long non-coding RNA from Cynoglossus semilaevis (tongue sole), 2078 nucleotides. RefSeq lists it as uncharacterized. The record is from RefSeq and is a predicted model, not a curated record. NCBI's taxonomy places the organism in Eukaryota, Metazoa, Chordata, Actinopteri, Pleuronectiformes, Cynoglossidae. The transcript has 2 exons.
UUCAUUUGACUGCGCAUGUGCUGGUAGAAUUCCGGAACACGGAAGCAAAACAAACAUUUUGGCGCGAUGUUGACCAAGUUGAAGUUGUUUCAGUGAAACUGAGAAGAGAAGAAGACACGGAUAAAGGAAAACGUUUUUUAGCAGCUGGAAAGAAGCUGUGGCUUCAGACCACUGGCAUCGACUGAGGCUGAGCCGCUCACAGAGAUACUUUACUGUCAUGACUAGUACACGUGAGUACCAGAAGUACUGACAGAGCUAAUGGUGAUAAUGUAUGUGUGACUGUUCCAGUUCCUGUGGUGUGGAAGGCACAAGUCGUCUUCAGACCAAAUCAUGGUUCCUGUUGGACUGGAUCAUCAAGUCAGACCACUGACCUUGACAAGUCCUCAUCUUUAAGACAUUCAUAUUUCCACUGGUUGGUUUUAUUUGGACUCGGGAAUUAAAAAUUUUUUUCCAUCUCUAUAAACAUCUUUUUUUGGUUUGUAAUGUAUUUGGUAGAACUGAGGUUUUUCAACAGGUGGUCUGUGACCCCUAGAUGGUCCAUGAAGGUGCUGUAGUGGGAUGGUUUUGGACUCCAGUGCUGGACUGGAAAAUGGUUCAAACUGAGUUUCAUUUACAAUAAGGUCAGGCUGAGGAAGAAAACACCAGGAAGAGAUGACAGAGGGGAAGGGGUUGGGGGGGUGGCUUGGGAGGAGGUGGGACCCAGGUGGAAGCAGGAAGUGGAAGAAGCUCAGGGAGAAUUAGAACGAAGUGGAACAAAAGUCGAUAAAUUUAAUUCCCUGAAUUUUUUCCCAACAAAUUUAAAGUCUUCAGAAAAACAGCAAAUUGUAGCAGAAAUAAAUGAGGAAAGUUUUACGUCCAAGUCCAUAAUAAAAACAUUGUAUUAAUGAAUAACAACACAGAGUAAAACGAAAAAAAAAAAACCCACAAGUUUAUUAAUAAGAAAUUAAUUAAAUGUAAUAGGUGGGUGUGGCAGGAGGUGGUUGAAUAAAUGAUCGACUGAUUGGAUGACCUAAGUGUCAGACUAAGUGUUGUGUACAUGUGUAUACACACACACACAGGUUGGCUGACACCUCGGCUGGAGCAAAGACAGAAACCUCAGGUGUUGAUGUGGGAGGAAAUGUUUUUCUCUGACUUCUGGCACCGGGCUGACAACUGAUGACAUCUCGCUUUUCAUCUAAUGAUUCCCUCGACUUCAAAGUGAAAGUAGGGGAAUCCCACCACACACACAUGCACACACACAGAUAUACACACACACAGACAGAGUGAGGUAUGAGAUGAUUACUGCUGUCGUUUCCUUCUGUAAAUAUCUUCCUCAGAUGUUGCACUUCUUAAACACAGGCGUCUUUCUUUUCAUCCUGUUUUGGUCUGAUUUUGUGAAACAACAAUGUUUAACAACAGAUUAGUGUCAAAUACUGGACCGACACACAGUUUAACGUAAUGUUCGAUGAAGACGACUCCAAACAAAUGAACAAUUUGCGGCGUUUUAGUUUAAUUUUUAAAAUGUUUGGAUAUAAUUUGUAUCACUUCAAGUUCAACCCAAAUACCGUAUUUUCUGGACUGUAAGACCAGCUGUCGACCGACUGUCGGACCAGCCAAAAAAAAAAAUCUAUUUUAUCACAGUAUCUGUGUAGUUCAAGUCUACUGUAAGUACUGUAAUUUUUUAUUUAAAAAAAACAAACUUUAGGAGCGUUCAAAUGCAGCUGAUUGUGCUCUUGGCCAGGAUCUGCCCACGACAACCCCUGAUGACAGAGUUUACCCCUGUCUGCCAGAGGUGAAAACGUGAGUUCUGGUCAAACUGAUGCUGGCCACAGAGGCAGACACACCCCGAAAUAACCUCACACAGAAAAGGCACAGAUUCUCCCCAAAUAUCCCAUAGAUAGAAGAGAAAUUACAUGGUCCAAAAUAAGGAGCAGAUACAGACCAGAGGAGUCAUCUGCAGCUGUGCAAUCUGCUACCAAAAAAAAAGUAAGUGCCACAUUAAAGGCAGGAAUUUUUUAUGUUUUGUAGUUAGUAAACUUAUUUUGUUUUCUUGGAUUAAUGAGAGUUUUCGUAGAGUUUGUAGGAAUCAAAAUGUGUAA